UUCGUGGUUAUUAAGGGCACUAUCGAGCUAGGCGGCCUUAGUACAGUGUGGAGCAUAGCCAACGAAGGAGAAAGAAUACAAUUCUUUGAUUGGAGUACGGACUUCACUGCUAGACAGACGACCUGGGGUUUGUGGAUUGGUGGCACAGGAUUUUUCCUCACAUUGUACGCAACAAAUCAAGCCACCGUGCAAAGAUACUUGACUGUCUCUACUCUGAGAAAGUCCCAGCUAUGUUGCUACAUGAUGGCUCCACUUGGAUUGCUAUCCAGUGGAUUUUCACAUU
Priapulus caudatus is the source of this 283-nucleotide long non-coding RNA. RefSeq lists it as uncharacterized. NCBI's taxonomy places the organism in Eukaryota, Metazoa, Priapulida, Priapulimorpha, Priapulimorphida, Priapulidae. The transcript is spliced from 3 exons. The record is from RefSeq and is a predicted model, not a curated record.